CGGAGAUCAGGGUCACGCUCGAGGACAUCACCACCGCGCGCGUGGUCGCACGGCCGACGCCGACUGUGCCCUCGCGCGUGUUCAUCCCCAGGUAGCAGGCGACCAGCGCGAUGUUGAAGCCGAAGAAGAAGGUCUUGGCCAAUCCCGACGCCAUGUCGGCGAGCGUGGUCGAGCGCAGCGCG
Molecule: unclassified non-coding RNA, 182 nt
Filed under: fungal sp.
Lineage: Eukaryota; Fungi
Description: partial internal transcribed spacer region
Source: RNAcentral